AUUCCAGGCCUGGCUACGGUCGGGUCCGGUUUGUGAGUCGGUUUCGUGGCUGUGUAGCCUUUCAGUCGUGUCUGUUUCGACAGGUGCCGAUGGUUUUAUCCGUUGGCAUGCUUCCAGAUGCCUUUAACCGGGUGUCGGGAGCGGACGGCUAGUUUACUUUGAACAAAUUUGAGUGCUCAAAGCAGGCUUAUGCCUGAAAAUUCUUGCAUGGAAUAAUGGAAUAGGACUUCGGUUCUAUUUUGUUGGCUUUCGGAUCCGAAGUAAUGGUUAAGAGGGACAGACGGGGGCAUUUGUAUGGCGGUGUUAGAGGUGAAAUUCUUGGAUCGCCGCCAGACAAACUACAGCGAAAGCAUUUGCCAAGGAUGUUUUCAUUGAUCUUGAGCGAAAGUCAGAGGUUCGAAGACGAUCAGAUACCGUCCUAGUUCUGACCAUAAACGAUGCCAACUGACGAUCCGUGGGUGUACUUUGAGUGACCCCACGGGCAGUCCCCGGGAAACCUUUAAGUCUUUGGGCUCCGGGGGAAGUAUGGUUGCAAAGCUGAAACUUAAAGGAAUUGACGGAAGGGCACCACCAGGAGUGGAGCCUGCGGCUUAAUUCGACCCAACACGGGAAAACUCACCCGGCCCGGACACUGUGAGGAUUGACAGAUUGAUAGCUCUUUCUUGAUUCGGUGGUUGGUGGUGCAUGGCCGUUCUUAGUUGGUGGAGCGAUUUGUCUGGUUAAUUCCGAUAACGAACGAGACUUUGGCCUGCUAAAUAGUAUGCCUGUCCUCUGUACUCGUGCGGGUAGCGGUGUUCGUCGCCUCUUCGGGGGUGGUGAUACUGUUGCCGGCGGGUGCUGCGCAGGUGUUUACUUCUUAGAGGGACAAGCGGAAUAAUCCGCACGAAAAUGAGCAAUAACAGGUCUGUGAUGCCCUUAGAUGUCCGGGGCCGCACGUGCGCUACAAUGACGGUUUCAGCGAGUAUGGAAUCCUGGCCCGAAAGGGUUGGGCAAACUGAAUCAUAACCGUCGUGACUGGGAUCGGGGCUUGCAAUUGUUCCCCGUGAACGAGGAAUUCCUGGUAAGUGCAAGUCAUAAGCUUGCGCUGAUUACGUCCCUGCCCUUUGUACACACCGCCCGUCGCUACUACCGAUUGAAUGGUUUAGCAAGGUUUUUGGAUCGGUGCCACUUUAGUUGCUUCGGCAGCUUGACCGGUGCUGAAAAG
This 1204-nucleotide ribosomal RNA is filed under the name metagenome. Its description in RNAcentral is "SSU rRNA". It matches the Rfam family "Eukaryotic small subunit ribosomal RNA", at positions 638 to 1754 of the family's 1831-position model. The record is from RNAcentral.